Long non-coding RNA from Vespula pensylvanica (western yellowjacket), 4005 nucleotides. RefSeq lists it as uncharacterized. The transcript has 2 exons. The record is from RefSeq and is a predicted model, not a curated record. NCBI's taxonomy places the organism in Eukaryota, Metazoa, Arthropoda, Insecta, Hymenoptera, Vespidae.
UAUGUUAUAAUUAUUCGUAGAGAUAAAUACGUUCCUCUUUAAGAUCUUUUUAUCUCUUAAUUCAUUUAUCAUUACUAACUUUAUCUUUAAUAAAAUUUUAUUUAUUUAAUUUGGAAAAAGAUAUCGUUGCUUCGAUUGAUAGGUUAGAUAAUAAUUUGAUAAAGUAAAAAAAAUAUAAGAAUAAAAGUCAGAACAUCUACGCAACAACGUUGACAUAACCAUGACCAGUAUGUAACUUGAUCCUAUGAGAAAAGUGCUCGCCAAUUUGAGAGACUGACGUGUGUCGGCUAGCAUAUUACGCCGUUUAAAAUUCAAAAUGGUGAAAGACAUCCGGAGAGAUGUCAGCAUUAAUUGGAUUCUGUUGAAACUCGUACGUUAUUGUCUGUAACGGUCAGAAAUGUAGAACAGUGACGGCGUACGAGUAGGGGGUGAAAACGUAAUUAACGAGGUUACCUAGCAAUUUUUAAUCCAUGGUGUUAGACAUUCAACAUUAGAAAGAAGAAUCGUUUUAGACUGUUUUUAAAGGAAACAGCUCACUUUCGUGGUAUAAUAACUAUUCUUUCUUUUAAAUAUAUUCUUCGUUUCACAUUUCCAUUACUUCUCUUUGCACAGUUCGCGAAUGAUCAACUUUAUCAAGUGGACUUUCGUGUCAUGUUUAAGACUAGUUCGAAAGUUCGCCGAGUGUCCAGAGAUGCUGGACCAGUUUUCUAGGAGAAACCUCUCGCACGACCCUUGGCUUGGACGAAAAGCGGUUCCCCUUCUCGCUCUAAGAGGCAAGUUACUCUCCUCUUUUGGAAUCCGGAACUCUGCGGUCCAGAGAUUCCAGUAGAGGAAGAUGUCCCGUGGGAAUCGUCUUGGAUGCUACUGUGAUGUACUACUUCUUUCUGACAUUUCUUUUUCUUUUUUCAUCACAGAAAGAACUUGGAAAAUCCUUUUUCAUAGAAAUUUCACGAACUGAUUGUAUUCACUAGUAAAAGCAUUUAGGAUUUCGAGGCGAAAGCUUGCAUAGUUUCUAUGAAUCGUUGUUUCAAUCAGCAGCAACAAUAAUAAUGGUUUAGAAUUUGCUCUUUCCCUCUCUUCCUUUCUCUCUCACUCUAGCUCUUUCAAAUCGCAAGCAGCAAUCGAGGGUGUUUUCAUGGUACGUUUUCGAAUCGUACCGGUAACGCGUCACAAUCGCGAACUCGUAGCGUUGACGCUCAAAUUUCUCUCCCGUGUGUUCGUGUUCCACGCUAAUAUUCCGACGGUGGCUCAUUGGGCAGCGCACGCUGCACUUUGCCCGCAAACAAACCCCGAAACAACAAUUGAUUCCGGCAAACACGUCGCGCCGAGUGGACCAGCAGCGUGUAAAACAUCGAACAACUGGCUUUUCUUGCUUCCUGUUGAACAUGGAGGGGUCCGUACUGCCGAAGAAAUUUACGGGAUUGUAUCCGUGCAAGAGUCUUUUUGCGAUACUUCCUUCCUGCCACCCAAUCUAUUUACUUACUAGACACUCUUCGAUAGCGACAAGGGUGUAAUUUCAUUUGAUCCUUUCAUUUAUCGUUAAUAUCGAUAACUUUUUUUCUAUGCUUAUUGCUUAUUUUGACUUUUUUUUUUUUAAAAUAGAUAUAGAUAUUAUCAUCUUUAUAUAAGUAAUCUUUGUACUUAUAUUUACAUCUCCUUUUCCCUUGGUUCAUUCAUUCGAAGUUGAAAAUGUUUUUACGAUAAUAAACGUACCUAGUCGUGGAUAAGUAAAGUGCGAGCUUUUGUUGGGUAAUUCGAGUACAAUUUGCCUUUUACGAAGCCAUAACUGUAAAAGCGUCACACUCGUUGGGUGAAUUGCGAUCGUCCAAUUGGUCGUUUAUUCUAACCUUCAUAUUCGUCGUUUGAUUUGAGCUAGGCGCUCGGAAGUUCCAUUUCAAUAAAUAACUCCGACUCGCUUGAACUUUAUUUUACAAUUGAAACAAUUUCUUCGGUCUUAUAACGAUGCCUUGUUUAUGAAUGCCAUGGUUAUGAUAAUUUAAUGCGAAAUACGCGUAUGCGAUGAUUCAGCAUGAGGAAUACGAUAACGAAAACAAUUUGCCUCUGCAUGCAAUAAUUAAUACGUUGUCCGAGCUUCUGGUUGUCAUAGUUAUUCCCUAAAUCGAAUCACGUACGUAUUUUGAUGUGUACUCGUACAACAAAAUUCAACGCAACGAGUUUCACGGACUUUGAUCAAAUUUUGGACAACUUCGAAAGAAAAGAACGUAAUCGAUUAGCAUAUAGAUAUAGUAAUCAAUAACUUUACUACACGUUUAUCAUAUAUUAAAAAUAAUAGUGAAAUAAAUGUAGUACGAAGUAUAAAAUCUCGUUAAUUUUUCGACAAAUCGAUUUCAACAUCUUUUAAUUCCUUCAUUUCCAACUAGAAUCACGCGUAACGUCUCUCAGAUAUGAAGAUCUCGUUUUGCAGGUUACAGUCCAGCCAAUCUUAAUCGCGCGACGGAAAUACGCUGUGAGAUGUAUAAUGCUCGGUAGGAAAUGACGUCAUCACUCAGUGCAGUGUUAGAGGAAGAUAGAGAGAGAGAGAGAGAGAGAGAGGGAGAGAGAGUGAGAGAGUAAAGAGACAGAGAGGGUCGAAGUGGGAACACGAUAGGGUAGUGAAGAGGAGCGAGAGGGUUGAAGAGGGUGAGAGAACAGGCUGGUGGGAAGAGGAAGAAGGGAGGAACGGAGAGGGACACAGAUUUUAGCGAAAUACCGGCAGGUAGGAUCGGUUGAGUUAUGCUCGUAUUUCCCGUCAACACAUCCGAUGAUGUCUACGGUAAUGUAACCGAAAUGUAUGAACGUUCCGUACUGCAAGAUUUGCCUGUGUAAACGACCACUAUUAUAAACGUGCUUUAAUGUAUGUGUGAGGAAACUGAUCAUGGUACGCUGUAUCGGUUCUUCGUAUUGCAAAGCGUACGUAUGCUUUUCAAAAGUCAUAGAUCGUGCUACGAUAGAAGUCAAUGUGGUGAUUAGAGGUUGAUUCGUAGCAUGAAUGAACCUGUUUCUCUAUUUGUAAGUCUGAAGGUAAUGCAGUGGUCUCGUUAUACGUAGAAUAUAAGAAUAUAUGUAUUAGCACAUUGAUACCAGGUACAUCCGAUUAGAUCUCAAUGAAAAACUCGUGCUUUUCAAAAAAAUUUUUUCUUAAAAUUCUAGGUCGAUUCAGUAAUUUCUUAUGGCUCUUUUCACUUUCUACGGAUUAACUUUACUCCAGUACGUACUCGAACGUACAGACGUGAAAAAGAAAAGAGAAUAAGAGAGUGAACGUGUGAGUGAGCAUCGAGAGAAAAAGAGAGAGCGAUGAACGCAGACUAGCGAGGUUCGAUUCUCUUUCAACCCCACCACCAACGACAGCUAGCACCGGUGGUGGUCUUUCUCUCGCGAGUUAGCCGCAUGCGCCGUAAAAAAGUACGGCCGCAGCGGCAGCGUUUCACUCUUCGAGCUUCGUCUACCCGUUGGCCGAUAAAAAAGCUCUCCGCCGCGAGCUUUCGUCGGGACAUCCUCGUCGCGUACAAAUCUACCUUUCUACGGCGUUCUUUCUUUCGUCGCGUCGCGAGCAUUCUUUUGUGAUAAGAACCAUGGGAGGUUCUCCUCGCUGGGAAGACAAAGAAGAAAGCUAAAAAACAGAUUGAUUUCAGAAGAGAAAGAAAGAAAGAAAGAGAGAGAGAGAGAGAGAGAGAGAGAGAGAGAGACAGAGAGAUAGAGAGAAAGAAGAUUCAACGUCGUCGUACAAUGUCUUCCAUGCAAGUCGUCGUCGUUGUCGUCGUCCAUGGUGCUCGGCCUCCGACGUCGACGAUAAGGGUUGCUUCUCCGUGGAAACCCUGGGGGGAAUAACGUACCAAAAGGAAAGUUCCGUAAACGAAGAUUUAUCGAAAUAACAUCUUAAUGUAAGGAUAAAAUAUUUACAGUAUCAUUCGUUUAAAAUGUCAACGUCAUAUUUAUUUUCUCAUACCCGUUAAGUUCCCUAUCCACUAUAACUUAAUAAAGAUAUAUUAUUCAUGCAAUGCAAAA